This 648-nucleotide ribosomal RNA is filed under the name uncultured archaeon. RNAcentral describes it as "partial 16S ribosomal RNA". It matches the Rfam family "Archaeal small subunit ribosomal RNA", at positions 1 to 640 of the family's 1478-position model. The record is from RNAcentral.
GGCCGCGGGAAUUCGAUUUUCCGGUUGAUCCUGCCGGAGGUCACUGCUAUCGGGGUUCGAUUAAGCCAUGCGAGUUGAGAGGGUUAAGACCCUCGGCGGACUGCUCAGUAACACGUGGAUAACCUGCCCUAAGGUGGAGGAUAACCCCGGGAAACUGGGGAUAAUACUCCAUAGGUUAAAGGUACUGGAAUGUUCUUUAACCGAAAGUUCCGGCGCCUUAGGAUGGAUCUGCGGCCGAUUAGGUUGUUGUUGGGGUAGUGGCCCAACAAGCCUGUAAUCGGUACGGGUUGUGGGAGCAAGAGCCCGGAGAUGGAAUCUGAGACACGAUUCCAGGCCCUACGGGGCGCAGCAGGCGCGAAAACUUUACAAUGCAGGAAACUGUGAUAAGGGAACCCCGAGUGCCCGUAUAUGCGGGCUGUCCGGAUGUUUAAAACGCAUCCGAAGAAAGGGCCGGGCAAGACCGGUGCCAGCCGCCGCGGUAAUACCGGCGGCUCGAGUGGUGGCCACUUUUAUUGGGCUUAAAGCGUUCGUAGCUUGAAUAAUAAGUCUCUUGGGAAAUCUGCAGGCUUAACCUGCAGGCGUUUAAGAGAAACUGUUGUUCUAGGAACCGGAAGAGGUGAGAGUACUCCGGGGGUAGGAGUGAAAUCC